AUUCAGGUAGUUUAAGUAAAAUAUUGGCUUGUGGUGCCGGUGAUAUAAUUUUUAUUCUGGAUU
RNAcentral lists this transfer RNA (63 nucleotides) under Synacanthotermes sp. TB-2014. Its description in RNAcentral is "tRNA-His". Lineage: Eukaryota; Metazoa; Arthropoda; Insecta; Blattodea; Termitidae. The record is from RNAcentral.